ACCCCUUGACAAUGGGCAAGGAGACACCUGAUUGAUGGUGUUGCUCUUAUAUCAGUCAGGGGCAGAACACUUCUAGUCCUUUGUUCAUCCUAGCUUGAUGCCUGUUUGGUGGCCAGAGCUGUUUCAUGCCUAGGGCACAUAC
This is a small nucleolar RNA of Choloepus didactylus (southern two-toed sloth), 142 nucleotides long. RefSeq annotates it as small nucleolar RNA SNORA48. Lineage: Eukaryota; Metazoa; Chordata; Mammalia; Pilosa; Megalonychidae. The record is from RefSeq and is a predicted model, not a curated record. The transcript has a single exon.